ACUUUGUAUUUUUCUUUUAUUACAAUUUUUCUUUUUCCUCUUGUCUUUAAGAAACAUUCAAUCAAUAAAAUUGGGUUUCUCCUUUUGGAGGGCUUCUCCACUCUGCUCCUCCUUUUUUUUAUUUGCUUUAUGCCAUGAGAUGCGCCUUGACGCUUUUGUCUCCCGAUGGCAGUGUCCUGCUGAAGCGCUGAAGUCCGCGAUCCAACGUCUGAAGAAGAAGGUUCAUCAUUUAACAAAAAGGUUGAAAGAGAUGGAUGGUGAGCUUCGC
This 268-nucleotide long non-coding RNA is filed under the name Elaeis guineensis (African oil palm). RNAcentral's name for it is "long non-coding RNA (EGUI_LNC081833)". The record is from RNAcentral. Lineage: Eukaryota; Viridiplantae; Streptophyta; Magnoliopsida; Arecales; Arecaceae.